Mycena galericulata is the source of this 94-nucleotide non-coding RNA. NCBI's taxonomy places the organism in Eukaryota, Fungi, Basidiomycota, Agaricomycetes, Agaricales, Mycenaceae. The record is from the annotation of a GenBank genome assembly.
GGCCCAGUGGUGUAGUGGUAACACAUCCUGUACCCAUCAAAGAUAGGGACUGAAGUUCUGGAGGAAGUGCCCUGUUCGAUCCGGGGUUGGGUCA